CGCAAGGAGCGAAAGUCCCACGGAGCCGCGCGGAAGCGGGCGCGGAGUGGAGACUGCGACGUGAACGCCGGCGAUUUCAUCAGCCGCCUCCCGGACGCUGUCCUCGGGACCAUCAUCUCUUUACUCCCCACCAAGGACGGCGGCCGCACGCAGAUCCUCUCCCGCCGAUGGCGCCACCUGUGGCGCUCUGCUCCUCUCAACCUCGAGGUCAUCACCGGGCCUCCCGGAAGCUAUCCUCGGCACCAUCAUCCGUCCGCGGUCCACCACUCCGCCGUCUCCAAGAUAAUCUCCCAACACCUUGGCCCCGCCCGCCGAUUCUGCCUCAAGCACCUGAUCGACGGCGACCUCCCUGAGAUGGAGAGCUGGUUGGACUCCCGAGCCCUCAUCAGCCUCCAGGAACUCGACAUCAUCAAUUACACUGGAUAUAAGACCGGCUAUACAUUGCCGCAAUCCGUGUUCCGCUCCGCAUCCACCCUUCUCGUUGCCAAGAUAAUGGGUUGCAAUUUCCCGGACGCGAUCACACGCUCCAUGAAUUUCUACCUCCUCAACCAGCUUUCCAUGGAUUGUGUUUCGAUCUCGGGGGAUGUGUUCCACGGCUUGCUCUCCGGCUGCCAUGCCUUGGAGAGCUUAGCCAUGCUUGAAGUUCAUGCUGCUGGUUGCCUCCGUGUUAGCUCGCCAACUCUUAGGAGCAUUGGCUUCCGCAAAGGAUCUCGUAAAAGAGCCGAAUUGGUCCUCGAGGAUACUCCUCGCCUUGAAAGGUUAUUAUUACCGUAUUGUGACCGGAAUAAUUCUGCGACUAUCCGGGUUAUUUGGGCACCUAAACUGCAGAUAUUUGGGCCUUUCUCAACAGGCGCGUGUGAACUCCGGGUCUUCCAGGUAGCAGCAACAGACAUCAUUCAGCAUUCUUACAUGGAGAUGGUUAUUUUUUAUGUUGGUUGUUUUCUUCAGGGAAUGAGCCCCGUCAGCUCAACAAACUCGAUACACACCGUGAAGGUUUUGGCCCUCGGGUGUUCUGAACAUCAAUUGGGUGCAGUUCUUGACGUCCUCAUGUGGUUCCCCUGUUUGGAAAAGCUCUAUGUCACAUUUCACGCACACUAUAGGACGUUUAAGCAAAAUGAGCAUCACUAUGACCCACUACAUCCAGCGUGCCUUCAGACCCAUCUAAAGAGAGUGGUGUUUAAGUUAUUCAAAGGCUCUAAGCAACAGAUUGAGUUUGUCAUGUUCUUUAUUUUGUAUGUGAAAUUGCUAAAGAAAAUUGAAUUCCAAGUUUGCGGGGACUACUACAACACUGAAUUUGUGGCUCGUCAACGCGCGCUGCUCAAAGUCGGAAACAGAGCUUCUCGAUAUGCUCAAUUUACAUUCAGGAAUACUAGUGGUUGUACUGAUGACCAUGUCACCAAGCAUAUCCACGAUUUGUCACUAGCUGACCCCUUU
Molecule: ribosomal RNA, 1434 nt
Filed under: Triticum aestivum (bread wheat)
Lineage: Eukaryota; Viridiplantae; Streptophyta; Magnoliopsida; Poales; Poaceae
Description: partial small subunit ribosomal RNA
Source: RNAcentral